RNAcentral lists this ribosomal RNA (521 nucleotides) under uncultured bacterium. RNAcentral's name for it is "bacterial SSU rRNA". It matches the Rfam family "Bacterial small subunit ribosomal RNA", at positions 19 to 518 of the family's 1533-position model. The record is from RNAcentral.
CUGGCUCAGAACGAACGCUGGCGGCGUGCUUAACACAUGCAAGUCGAACGCGAAAGGGGACUUCGGUCCUGAGUAAAGUGGCGCACGGGUGAGUAACGCGUAGAUAACCUGUCUUCAUGUCUGGAAUAAUACGCCGAAAGGGGUACUAAUACCGGAUAUUCUUGCUUUUCAUAAGUUAUGCAAGCAAAGGUGGCCUCUGCAUAUGCUACUGCAUGAAGAGGGGUCUGCGUACCAUUAGCUAGUAGGUGGGGUAAUGGCCUACCUAGGCGACGAUGGUUAGCGGGUCUGAGAGGAUGAUCCGCCACACUGGCACUGGAACACGGGCCAGACUCCUACGGGAGGCAGCAGUGAGGAAUAUUGCGCAAUGGGGGAAACCCUGACGCAGCGACGCCGCGUGAAGUGAGGAAGGCCUUCGGGUCGUAAAGCUCUGUCAAGAGGAAAGAAGUGUACAAUGGCUAAUACCUGUUGUAUUUGACGGUACCUCUAAAGGAAGCACCGGCUAACUCCGUGCCAGCCGCAGC